Anas platyrhynchos (mallard) is the source of this 1195-nucleotide long non-coding RNA. RefSeq lists it as uncharacterized. The record is from RefSeq and is a predicted model, not a curated record. Lineage: Eukaryota; Metazoa; Chordata; Aves; Anseriformes; Anatidae.
GGGGGGGCCGGGGGGGCCGGGGGAGGGCUGGGAGCUACCGGGCACCGGGGCCGUACCGGGCCGGGAGAGGAGCGGAGCGCUCCGGAGGCGGCGGGGCCGGAUGGGGUCGGGUCGCAUCCCGCCGGCCCCGCACGGAGCUGCCACCGGGAUCGGCUCCGUUUGGGAAGGAACCGGCACGGACGGCACCGGGAGCAGCACCGGGGCCGGGUACCGGAGCACCGGGUGCCGCAAGCAGCGCGGUUGUUCGGGGCCACCCCAUUGUUCCCGGCCGCCCCUCGCUGUGGGGUGAGUUACCGACAAUUUAUUAGCUGGGAAGAAAUGAAAAAUGAAGAAAAAAACCCAAAACCGACGGCCGGGCUUCCCGCAUGAGGUGGGUGACACGGGGAUGUGCCGUGAGCAGCCCCGGUGCUUCCCCGGUACCGGCGUAACGGUGAGGUCAGUGCUGAAACGAACCCGGGCCGGUUAAUUAAUGGGGUUUUAAUAACAGGCACCGGCCCCGUGCAUCCUUCCCGGUGUGUCCUAUGCGGCUCAGGACCUGGGACCCCCCCUCCUCGCCCUCGCCUUUGUCCGCACCCGGGGCGGCCCCGCGGGCACCGGAGACAAAGGGCGGCGGGAGGGGGUCCUGCGGGGCCACCCUUUAUUGGGGCCGAACCGAACCGAACCGGGUUGGACCCGGUGCCCCCUGCCCCGGGAACAAAGGUGGCAGCUUUGGGGUGAGCUCCCCUGACCCCUGCUCCGGGUGGGGAAAAUGUGGGGCUGGGGGCUCGGCACCGGCACGGGACGGGAUGCACCGGGACCUGGCUCCUUUGUCCUCGCUCCCACCCGCAGCACGCGGCGCUGAGCGUCCCGGGGGGGCUCAGCACGGCUGGGGGGGGCUCAGCACGGCUUGGGGGGGGCGCACAGGGACUUGGGCUGCUCCCCCGUGCUCUGCAUCGCCGUGGCCGUGCGGAGCCGCCCUGAGCACCCAAGGGUGCUGCCUGGGGCUGUGCGGCGGGGGCACCCCGGGGACAGCCAUCGGGGGGGUACCGGGGGGGCUGCAGAGCCUGCGUUGGCCCCCGGGGUCCCGGCACGGCCUCGUGGCUCCUCCGGCAGCCGCCCCGGCCUCGAGCCGUGCGCUCAGCCAGGAGCAGGCGCCUGCUUUGGGUGUUUGUUUGGCAUUCAUUUAAAAAAAAAAUAAAAAUAAAUUGUUGUUGUC